Molecule: ribosomal RNA, 792 nt
Filed under: Halomonas sp. MMRF1004
Lineage: Bacteria; Pseudomonadati; Pseudomonadota; Gammaproteobacteria; Oceanospirillales; Halomonadaceae
Description: bacterial SSU rRNA
Rfam family: Bacterial small subunit ribosomal RNA
Source: RNAcentral
GGCUCACCAAGGCAACGAUCCGUAGCUGGUCUGAGAGGAUGAUCAGCCACAUCGGGACUGAGACACGGCCCGAACUCCUACGGGAGGCAGCAGUGGGGAAUAUUGGACAAUGGGGGCAACCCUGAUCCAGCCAUGCCGCGUGUGUGAAGAAGGCCCUCGGGUUGUAAAGCACUUUCAGCGAGGAAGAACGCCUAGCGGUUAAUACCCGCUAGGAAAGACAUCACUCGCAGAAGAAGCACCGGCUAACUCCGUGCCAGCAGCCGCGGUAAUACGGAGGGUGCAAGCGUUAAUCGGAAUUACUGGGCGUAAAGCGCGCGUAGGUGGCUUGAUAAGCCGGUUGUGAAAGCCCCGGGCUCAACCUGGGAACGGCAUCCGGAACUGUCAAGCUAGAGUGCAGGAGAGGAAGGUAGAAUUCCCGGUGUAGCGGUGAAAUGCGUAGAGAUCGGGAGGAAUACCAGUGGCGAAGGCGGCCUUCUGGACUGACACUGACACUGAGGUGCGAAAGCGUGGGUAGCAAACAGGAUUAGAUACCCUGGUAGUCCACGCCGUAAACGAUGUCGACCAGCCGUUGGGUGCCUAGCGCACUUUGUGGCGAAGUUAACGCGAUAAGUCGACCGCCUGGGGAGUACGGCCGCAAGGUUAAAACUCAAAUGAAUUGACGGGGGCCCGCACAAGCGGUGGAGCAUGUGGUUUAAUUCGAUGCAACGCGAAGAACCUUACCUACUCUUGACAUCCUGCGAAUUCGGUAGAGAUACCUUAGUGCCUUCGGGAACGCAGAGACAGGUGCUGCAU